RNAcentral lists this ribosomal RNA (490 nucleotides) under uncultured bacterium. RNAcentral describes it as "partial 16S ribosomal RNA". It matches the Rfam family "Bacterial small subunit ribosomal RNA", at positions 29 to 505 of the family's 1533-position model. The record is from RNAcentral.
AGUGAACGCUGGCGGUAGGCCUAACACAUGCAAGUCGAACGGCAGCACAGUAAGAGCUUGCUCUUACGGGUGGCGAGUGGCGGACGGGUGAGGAAUACAUCGGAAUCUACUUUUUCGUGGGGGAUAACGUAGGGAAACUUACGCUAAUACCGCAUACGACCUACGGGUGAAAGCAGGGGAUCUUCGGACCUUGCGCGAUUGAAUGAGCCGAUGUCGGAUUAGCUAGUUGGCGGGGUAAAGGCCCACCAAGGCGACGAUCCGUAGCUGGUCUGAGAGGAUGAUCAGCCAAACUGGAACUGAGACACGGUCCAGACUCCUACGGGAGGCAGCAGUGGGGAAUAUUGGACAAUGGGGGCAAGCCUAGUCCAGCCAUACCGCGUGGGUGAAGAAGGCCUUCGGGUUGUAAAGCCCUUUUGUUGGGAAAGAAAAGCAGCAGGUUAAUACCCCGCUGUUCUGACGGUACCCAAAGAAUAAGCACCGGCGAACUUCG